UUCCUAGAGGGACUGCAUCAAGGUAAAUACUUCCUGGAGGGACGAUGUAUCAAGGUAAAUACUUCCUAGAGGGACUGCAUCAAGGUAAAUACUUCCUGGAGGGACGAUGUAUCAAGGUAAAUACUUCCUAGAGGGACUGCAUCAAGGUAAAUACUUCCUGGAGGGACGAUGUAUCAAGGUAAAUACUUCCUAGAGGGACUGUAUCAAGGUAAAUACUUCCU
This is a long non-coding RNA of Oncorhynchus keta (chum salmon), 221 nucleotides long. RefSeq lists it as uncharacterized. The transcript has 4 exons. Lineage: Eukaryota; Metazoa; Chordata; Actinopteri; Salmoniformes; Salmonidae. The record is from RefSeq and is a predicted model, not a curated record.